Molecule: long non-coding RNA, 1215 nt
Filed under: Vulpes vulpes (red fox)
Lineage: Eukaryota; Metazoa; Chordata; Mammalia; Carnivora; Canidae
Description: lncRNA (ENSVVUG00000028359.1)
Source: RNAcentral
GAAACAUUCUGUGAACAGAGAUAACUACGUUAUAAAACAGAAAGUUUUAUAGGAGAGGGUAAAUAAAAUGCUGCCAGGUUUCAGAGGAGGGAGGAGUAAUUUCCUGCUAGGUAUCAAAGAAGGCUCUCUGGUGGAUGUGGCAUUAGCUCUACAAAUCUGUAAUAUAGCAUCUUGAGAAUCCAGGUUCUGCAGCACCCCCAGCACCACCUUUUCCCUCCUCCAUAAUGUGGUCCUUUCUUCUCCUCCUCUUUCUCCUACCCAGUAUCACCCAUCUUUUUUGUCAAACUGAGAUCUUGUAUUUUGGGGGGAGCUCCUCUGAGAAAAACACAAGAUUUUCUACAUAGAGGUAGGUUCAUGUGGUUCGAAAUAUUAUUAGAAAUCACACCUAUCCAUCUGGAAGUGUGUGGUUAUAGACACAGAAGAAUCUCAGAGAACAGUAGGCUGGUAGUGGGCUGGUACCUUGGAGGACCAACCAUGGAUAAAGGCCUAAAAGAUCCUCUUGGCAGCAAGAAGAAAAAGAAAUCAAAGAGCCAGGCUUGCUGAUAUGGACAUGCCAUCAGUGAUAGCUGGUUCUUGCAAGAGUUGGGGAUGAAGCCUGGGGAAGUUGCCCUUAACCCCAGGGGUGAGAUUGUGGAUGUCUGCUGGGAUUACCAUAGUACACUGCAUAUCACCUUCCUUGUAUGUGUUCCUGGCACUUCUCUGUGGCAUGGUUCCUCUCAUCCACCUUUUCCUUCUGAGAUACCUCAUCCUGCAGCUGGAAGGAGUUUCUUAGGACAACCUGAAGACACACUUAGGACCCCAGAGGGACAUCAGGACAAAGGGAAGGACAGGCCUCAGGGCCACGAGAAAAUUAACAGAAGAGAGGCCACAUUCCCUCUUCCCAGGCUGGCCCAGUGUGAUUUCCUGACUCACCUGCCCUCUGGCUUCCCUACCAAUUGGUCUAGUUGGAGGCAGUGUUGGAAGAUCAGAGGGUGAGAAGAUGGGAGAAUGGAAAGCACAUCACUCUGUCCCUGGACGUCUCCAGCACUCAUAGUGUCUCCUUCUUGCUCUGGUUCCAGGGGGUGCUCUUCCCUGGGCAACUCCUUCUGGGGGCACCCCUCGGUCUAGAAGGCCUUCUCCACUUUCUGUCACAUGUGUUACUAAUUGCCAUAUUAAACAUCAUCCUUCUGAGAUGUGUAGCGUGAGUUCUGCUUUUUUGACUAGAUCUUGAAUCUC